UGGGGAAUAUUGCACAAUGGGCGCAAGCCUGAUGCAGCCAUGCCGCGUGUGUGAAGAAGGCCUUCGGGUUGUAAAGCACUUUCAGCGAGGAGGAAGGGUUCAGUGUUAAUAGCACUGUUCAUUGACGUUACUCGCAGAAGAAGCACCGGCUAACUCCGUGCCAGCAGCCGCGGUAAUACGGAGGGUGCAAGCGUUAAUCGGAAUUACUGGGCGUAAAGCGCACGCAGGCGGUUUGUUAAGUCAGAUGUGAAAUCCCCGCGCUUAACGUGGGAACUGCAUUUGAAACUGGCAAGCUAGAGUCUUGUAGAGGGGGGUAGAAUUCCAGGUGUAGCGGUGAAAUGCGUAGAGAUCUGGAGGAAUACCGGUGGCGAAGGCGGCCCCCUGGACAAAGACUGACGCUC
RNAcentral lists this ribosomal RNA (401 nucleotides) under uncultured bacterium. RNAcentral describes it as "partial 16S ribosomal RNA". It matches the Rfam family "Bacterial small subunit ribosomal RNA", at positions 355 to 748 of the family's 1533-position model. The record is from RNAcentral.